AUUUAAAUGCCAAUGCCAAUCUACUUGGGGGGGUGCCUGUCCCCCUCAAAUAUUUUUUUGGGGGGGCCUUAAGAAGAGUUAGCUCCUAAGCCAGGGUAUGUGUCAUUUCUGGAUCUAUGUCUUUGCUUGCUUGGCUAUGUGUAGCACCUGCUGUGCCUUUGAACGGCAUUUUGCCCAUGUAUUGAAGGAAGGUGAGGACAGGUGACCUCACCUAGGCCCGAAGUCACCCCCCACCAAAGCAGGCUCAAAGCUUCUCAAAGCUUUUCAAAAUCAUUUUCUCAGCAGCUAAGCAUCAGAAACAUUCCGCUCUGCUGUAACAAAGAUAGAGAACAGUCCAUUGUUUCUCAGGCCUUUCUCAUGUCUUCUGGCCUUGCUAAAGAACCACAUUGCAACUUACUUUCUGUCCGGGAACCAUGCCAGCACAAGAAUGAAACAACUGGAACACACUGAAACCCCCUCACCCCCUUUCCUGCCAAGAGUCCACAAUAGUUCCAAGACAGCUUUCUGUACAUGCUCAGGGGAACACAUCAUGGGGCAGGACUCCUGAGGGAGGAGAAAGGAGGAGGGAACUGGGAAGGGGUAUAUAUGUUUGUGCACAUGAUUGUGAACUCGUGCAUGCUUUUUGUGACUUAUCACACUUGCUCCUUCUACCAGUUCAUGGAUGGUAGAAAUAAAAGCCUUUUCUCCGAAACUAUUCCUUGAGUGUCUGUUGACUCCCACUUCCCUUUCCCAGGCACAAUAUUUUUCCCACCCGAGGGCAAAGCCUCAUAAGGCUACAGUAUCACACUCAUCUGAGCAUUAAAGAUUUUGGUAGACACUGCAGCCUGAGUUCAAAUUCUUCAUUGAGUGGGAGCCAGGAAACUCUCCUCCACAGGGUGCUUUUCUGGAGGGUCUCCUGAUCCUCCCAUAGCCAGUUUUUGGGGGGCUGGGGGGGGAUCUAUGCUCUUCCCUUUCCCUAUAAUAAUUUCUACCCAGUUGUCAUUGAAAGUGGCAGCAUGUAUUAGAUUAAUUCCCAUAUAUAGAUUUAAAAAUAAUAAUAAUAUUAAUUCCUUUUGCCUUCUUAAUCUUCUGAAUCAAUAUCCAAAAAUGUUCACAGCAGUCCUGGUCAAUCGUUUGAGUAGUAUUGCUCCAACAUCUGCCCACUUCCAGUCUUGUGGUUUUUGAAGAACUUCCGAAAAGUGUAAGUAACCACUGACAUAAUAUCAGAGAGAAAUAACAAGCCUUAUUUUUUUGGUGAGCUGGAAGCAGUUUGAAAGAGGAUCACUUCUUAUUGUGUACACUAUCAUAAGAAUAUACCAUCCAAGAUUUUUCUGAUGAAAAGAGGGACAUCCUAUUCAAUAAUAAUAAGAAGACUAAUUUUAUUAUUUAUAUGUAUACACCAUGUUACCUCUUAGCUGUUUAGCUACAAUGGCUGGAGAUUCUAUUUAACUGUACAGUGGUACCUCGGGUUACAUACGCUUCAGGUUACAUAUGCUUCAGGUUACAGCCUCCGCUAACCCAGAAAUAUUACCUCAGGUUNNNNNNNNNNNNNNNNNNNNNNNNNNNNNNNNNNNNNNNNNNNNNNNNNNNNNNNNNNNNNNNNNNNNNNNNNNNNNNNNNNNNNNNNNNNNNNNNNNNNAAGAACUUUACUUCAGAAUGAGAACAGAAAUCGUGCUCCGGCGGCGUGGCAGCUGCAGGAGGCCCCAUUAGCUAAAGUGGUGCUUCAGGUUAAGAACAGUUUCAGGUUAAGAACGGACCUCCGGAACGAAUUAAGUACUUAACCCGAGGUACCACUGCAGUGGCAAAUAGCUUGUAAUUUAUCCGUUCUCCGUUGACUUAGUUACCACCUCCUCCUGGGUCAGUGAAUCAAAUCAUGCAUUAUGUGAAAUAUUCCCAGUGGAGAACUGCAGGAUCACAUUAACAAAACUGCUUGUGGCUGGUUGUUAAAAGCAAUGUAAACCAUGGGUUGGCAUUACAUCUGAACCAACUUCAAGAAAGCCAGGGGGAAGAGCGAAGGAAUCCCCAUCAACUGAGUUAAAAGAUACUGACAAUAUUUGCAGAGAGGUUAGAUGGCAUUUGUACCACACUUUCCAAUGCAUUAUCCCGGUGCUUUUUUUCUGGGGGGACGCAGGGGUAUUCAUACCUCUUAACCUUUUGUGAAUCAUUGUACUUUUGUUAAUUUGUUGUUUAGUCGUUUAGUCGUGUCCGACUCUUCGUGACCCCAUGGACCAGAGCACGCCAGGCACUCCUGUCUUCCACUGCCUCCUGCAGUUUGGUCAGACUCAUGUUUGUGGCUUUGAGAACACUGUCCAACCAUCUCGUCCUCAGUAAAUUUGUUAAUUUACUGUAUUUAUUUUUCCUGAUUUGAACUAUAAAAUGGUGAUUUUCUUGAGUCAAAAUGAGAGUACCCCUAAACAUUUUUAAAGAAAAAAAGCACUGCAUUAUACCAUCCCUUCACUUAUCGCCGAAAAUCCAAUCUUUUGGAGAAGAAGGUUGUUGCGCAAGACCUACCAAUCGACUACAAUUGUGCAGCUAGAAUUUUCCAAUAUUUUGGGGUGGGAUUCUAUCUGGAAGCACCCUUAAAGUCUCUCAGAUUCUACAGUAGGUUUAAUGGUCACUCCUUCUCCACAGCGAACUUUGGGAACUGUAGCUCUGGUGAAAGGAGUAGGAGUCCCCUAAGAGCUCUUUUGGCAAGUUACAGUUCCCAGAAAUCUUUUGGGGCAAGCCCUCACUGUUUAAUAGUCAUAUAAAUUUUAUUAUUUACACCACACACAUCUGGUAUCAUAGUGUUUUAAAUGCAUGGUGCAGAUGAGGCCUGCGGUUGUGGGGGCCAGAUAGCAGAAUGCACCUGAUGAUCCCAUUGCUUGAAUAUGGUAGUUAUCAUGCCUUGUUUGUUGAUAGCACAGAUAAUCCUCCUUUGUGGAAGUAUGGAGCUGUUAUGAGGAUUAAUGUUUUUAACUACUUCCCCUCUCUUUUACCAGCAUAGACAAGGAGGCCUAUGAGGCACCAGCAUAUGAGGAGGUGGUGACUACCGGCUACUUAUUGGGACCCACCACCUGGACCAUCACAUCCAGUCCAGGAACAAUCCCAGUGGAACCCCCUCUGUGCAGCGUGGUCACUGAGCCUCCUGCCCACGGAGAGACUGUGGUUGAGGCGUUCAGUGUUUCGGUGGCACCAGGCACACGGCUGCCUCAGAGGCAGAUCUACAGUCCAGGUUCCGCCUCAGGUUGCUCAUACUGCCCAAACUGCAGUGAUUUGUGUCGGGUACCCAUGAAGUCAAAGGUGUUGAAGAGCGGGCGGAACGCCUGGAACCCCUCACACCUCCUCCGGCUUAUGAGAAUGUGACAGUAGAGGAGCUCCUUGAAGAAGAAUUUCAGCCCUCCAGGCUAUGAGAACGGUGCACUGUGGACACUUUUUCUUCAGUAGCCAUUGUGUUGCAAUGAAUGUGAAACAUGGCCUGUGUGCAAGA
This 3448-nucleotide long non-coding RNA is filed under the name Podarcis lilfordi (Lilford's wall lizard). Lineage: Eukaryota; Metazoa; Chordata; Lepidosauria; Squamata; Lacertidae. The record is from RNAcentral.